CCUACGGGGGGCUGCAGUGGGGAAUCUUGCGCAAUGCGCGAAAGCGUGACGCAGCAACGCCGCGUGGGGGAAGACGGCCUUCGGGUUGUAAACCCCUUUCAGGAGGGACGAAGGUUCGCCGGUGAAUAGCCGUGCGGAUUGACGGUACCUCCACAAGAAGCUCCGGCUAACUACGUGCCAGCAGCCGCGGUAAUACGUAGGGAGCAAGCGUUGUCCGGAAUCAUUGGGCGUAAAGCGAUAGUAGGUGGCUGAAAGUAAAAGGCUCAACCUUUGAAAGCCGAUGGAUACUGUGUGGCUAGAGUACGGAAGAGGCGAGUGGAAUUCCUGGUGUAGCGGUGGAAUGCGCAGAUAUCAGGAGGAACACCAAUAGCGAAGGCAGCUCGCUGGGACGUUACUGACACUGAGGCGCGAAAGCGUGGGGAGCGAACAGGAUUAGAUACCCGUGUAGUC
Molecule: ribosomal RNA, 450 nt
Filed under: uncultured bacterium
Lineage: Bacteria
Description: partial 16S ribosomal RNA
Rfam family: Bacterial small subunit ribosomal RNA
Source: RNAcentral